This 397-nucleotide ribosomal RNA is filed under the name uncultured bacterium. RNAcentral describes it as "bacterial SSU rRNA". It matches the Rfam family "Bacterial small subunit ribosomal RNA", at positions 362 to 776 of the family's 1533-position model. The record is from RNAcentral.
UAUUGCAAAAUGGGGGAAACCCUGAUGCAGCGACGCCGCGUGAGGGAAGACGGUUUUCGGAUUGUAAACCCCUGUCUUUGGGGACGAAUUGGGACGGUACGCAAGGAGGAAGCUCCGGCUAACUACGUGCCAGCAGCCGCGGUAAUACGUAGGGAGUAAGCGUUGUCCGGAAUUACUGGGUGUAAAGGGAGCGUAGGCGGGAUAGUAAGUUGAUUGUUAAAACUAUCGGCUCAACUGAUAGAUGCGAUCAAAACUGCAAUUCUUGAGUGAAGUAGAGGCAGGCGGAAUUCCUAGUGUAGCGGUGAAAUGCGUAGAUAUUAGGAGGAACACCAGUGGCGAAGGCGGCCUGCUGGGCUUUAACUGACGCUGAGGCUCGAAAGUGUGGGUAGCAAACAGG